CUUGUUGGGGUUGUAGGACUCCAAUAUGGUAGUCUGUUAGUAUAGUUGAAGGAUUUGGAAAAUUCCGCUAAAGAGGGUGAAAGCCCCGUAGACGAAAUGCUAAUAACACCUAGGAGGAUCCUGAGUACGGCGGAACACGAGAAAUUCCGUCGGAAUCCGCGGGGACCAUCCCGCAAGGCUAAAUACUCCCUAGUGACCGAUAGUGAACCAGUACCGUGAGGGAAAGGUGAAAAGCACCCCGGAAGGGGAGUGAAAUAGAUCCUGAAACCGUGUGCCUACAACAAGUCAAAGCUCGUUAAUGAGUGAUGGCGUGCCUUUUGUAGAAUGAACCGGCGAGUUACGAUUGCAUGCGAGGUUAAGUCGAAGAGACGGAGCCGCAGCGAAAGCGAGUCUGAAUAGGGCGAAUGAGUAUGUAGUCGUAGACCCGAAACCAUGUGAUCUACCCAUGUCCAGGUUGAAGGUGCGGUAAAACGCACUGGAGGACCGAACCCACGUACGUUGAAAAGUGCGGGGAUGAGGUGUGGGUAGCGGAGAAAUUCCAAACGAACUUGGAGAUAGCUGGUUCUCUCCGAAAUAGCUUUAGGGCUAGCCUCGGAAUUGAGAAUGAUGGAGGUAGAGCACUGUUUGGACUAGGGGCCCAUCUCGGGUUACCGAAUUCAGAUAAACUCCGAAUGCCAUUCAUUUAUAUCCGGGAGUCAGACUGCGAGUGAUAAGAUCCGUAGUCGAAAGGGAAACAGCCCAGACCACCAGCUAAGGUCCCAAAAUAUAUGUUAAGUGGAAAAGGAUGUGGGGUUGCACAGACAACUAGGAUGUUGGCUUAGAAGCAGCCACCAUUUAAAGAGUGCGUAAUAGCUCACUAGUCGAGUGACCCUGCGCCGAAAAUGUACCGGGGCUAAACAUAUUACCGAAGCUGUGGACUACACCAUUAGGUGUAGUGGUAGGAGAGCGUUCUAAGGGCGUUGAAGGUCGAUCGUGAGGACGGCUGGAGCGCUUAGAAGUGAGAAUGCCGGUAUGAGUAGCGAAAGACAGGUGAGAAUCCUGUCCACCGUAUGACUAAGGUUUCCUGGGGAAGGCUCGUCCGCCCAGGGUUAGUCGGGACCUAAGCCGAGGCCGAUAGGCGUAGGCGAUGGACAACAGGUUGAUAUUCCUGUACCAGUUGUUUUUGUUUGAACAAUGGAGGGACGCAGUAGGCUAAGGAAUGCAUGCGAUUGGAAGUGCAUGUCCAAGCAAUGAGUCUUGAGUAGAGUUAAAUGCUUUACUCUUUAAGGACAAGUUGUGACGGGGAGCGAAAUAAUAGUAGCGAAGUUCCUGAUGUCACACUGCCAAGAAAAGCUUCUAGUGAGAAAACAACUGCCCGUACCGUAAACCGACACAGGUAGUCGAGGAGAGUAUCCUAAGGUGAGCGAGCGAACUCUCGUUAAGGAACUCGGCAAAAUGACCCCGUAACUUCGGGAGAAGGGGUGCUGACUUCGGUCAGCCGCAGUGAAUAGGCCCAAGCGACUGUUUAUCAAAAACACAGGUCUCUGCAAAAUCGUAAGAUGAAGUAUAGGGGCUGACGCCUGCCCGGUGCUGGAAGGUUAAGAGGAUGGGUUAGCUUCGGCGAAGCUCAGAAUUGAAGCCCCAGUAAACGGCGGCCGUAACUAUAACGGUCCUAAGGUAGCGAAAUUCCUUGUCGGGUAAGUUCCGACCCGCACGAAAGGCGUAACGAUUUGGGCACUGUCUCAACGAGAGACUCGGUGAAAUUUUAGUACCUGUGAAGAUGCAGGUUACCCGCGACAGGACGGAAAGACCCCAUGGAGCUUUACUGUAGUUUGAUAUUGAGUGUUUGUACCACAUGUACAGGAUAGGUAGGAGCCGAUGAGACCGGAACGCUAGUUUCGGAGGAGGCGCUGGUGGGAUACUACCCUUGUGUUAUGAACCCUCUAACCCGCACCACUAAUCGUGGUGGGAGACAGUGUCAGAUGGGCAGUUUGACUGGGGCGGUCGCCUCCUAAAAGGUAACGGAGGCGCCCAAAGGUUCCC
This 2022-nucleotide ribosomal RNA is filed under the name human gut metagenome. Its description in RNAcentral is "bacterial LSU rRNA". It matches the Rfam family "Bacterial large subunit ribosomal RNA", at positions 288 to 2321 of the family's 2925-position model. The record is from RNAcentral.